Long non-coding RNA from Trichoplusia ni (cabbage looper), 893 nucleotides. RefSeq lists it as uncharacterized. The transcript is spliced from 2 exons. NCBI's taxonomy places the organism in Eukaryota, Metazoa, Arthropoda, Insecta, Lepidoptera, Noctuidae. The record is from RefSeq and is a predicted model, not a curated record.
ACUUAAUUAAUAAAAAUAAAAUAACAACAUGAAAAUGAAUGCAUUGUUCUUUGUUUACGCGUGUUUUGGAACGCGCCGAAUGAACCGAACGAACCAAGAAUGAGUUCGAUUGAGGGAGAUGGGACAUACUGGCCAGUCGCUCCUAGGCUGAUGCGAGCGUGUUACCUCUGACCACUUUCCGUCCUGUCAAGCGUCCUAGCAGACACGGCCGUUAAAUUCAAAUUUAAAAAAAAAAAUAAGUUGAGAGUGUUCAAGUUGAAUACUUGCACUUAAUAUUGUCGUGAAGAUCCCGAAUUAGGGCUUUUUCUUCCGGCUUUAAGGAGCCAGCAGCAUCCUCGCGUUCGGGCCUGCCUACCAACCGAGGUCAUCCGAGGAGCCCGCUUCCGGCAACACCAGUCGCACGUGCGCGCCAUCUCCAUCACCGGUGAAGUCACCGUACAGCUCAGCACUGAACCUCGGCCUACUUCCAUCUCCGGCCAGCGGCGGAAUCCCGCCACAACUACAGGGGUACCUAUCCCUGCAGAGGUGACUACAGACAAAGUUGUAAUCCACGACCCAUAAAUCUUCGUGUGCCUCCGGCUGUGUUUUUUUUUUAUAUAAUAUAAAUUUUGAAGGUACACACCCGUUUUAUUUUUUUUAUUAAUCACCUACCUAGGUGGGAAUAAACGGGUGGAGGUUACACUGGCGCCCAAUUACGUGGUUUUGUCUGUUCUCGCUUCUGUAGUUAGUAGUUAGUUAUUGUACGGUGAGUGGGUAAUUUUAUUUUUUUUAUUUUGUAAAACGCUUUGUGUGUUUGUUUGCAUCAACUGGAGUGAAGUCUUAUAAUCUCAUCAUUUCCGUUAUUUUAGUAUAUUGUGUUAACGUUAAAAAAAAAAAAAAAAAAAAAAAAAAAA